UACGUAGGGUGCAGGCGUUAAUCGGAAUUACUGGGCGUAAAGCGUGCGCAGGCGGUUUCUUAAGUCAGAUGUGAAAGCCCCGGGCUUAACCUGGGAACUGCGUUUGAAGCUGGGAGACUUGAGUGUGGCAGAGGGGGGUGGAAUUCCACGUGUAGCAGUGAAAUGCGUAGAUAUGUGGAGGAACACCGAUGGCGAAGGCAGCCCCCUGGGUUAACACUGACGCUCAUGCACGAAAGCGUGGGGAGCAAACAGG
This 253-nucleotide ribosomal RNA is filed under the name uncultured bacterium. RNAcentral's name for it is "partial 16S ribosomal RNA". It matches the Rfam family "Bacterial small subunit ribosomal RNA", at positions 524 to 776 of the family's 1533-position model. The record is from RNAcentral.